GAGGCCGACAGGCGUAGUCGAUGGAUAACGGGUUGAUAUUCCCGUACCGGUGAAAAACCGCCCAUACUGAUAUUGUGAUGCUAACCAUGCGAAGCAUGAUGUGCAGGCUUUUGUUUGUGUGUUGUGUGGGUUGUGGGACCCGAUCUUUGGAGGUAAACGUAUUAACAGGUGUGACGCAGGAAGGUAGCCAAGCCACGCGAUGGUUGUCGUGGUCUAAGCGUGUAGGGUUGUCGGUUGUUAAAUGCGCCGGCUGUGUGCCUGAGACGUGAUGGGACCCCGUUUUUGGGGGAUUUGGUGAUCCUAUGCUGCCGAGAAAAGCAUCGGCGUGAGGUUUUAGCCGCCCGUACCCUAAACCGACACAGGUGAUCAGGUAGAGAAUACUAAGGCGAUCGAGAGAAUCAUGGUUAAGGAACUCGGCAAAAUGCCCCCGUAACUUCGGGAGAAGGGGGACCUUGAGCGUGAUGGGCACUUGCUGCCUGGAGCGUGUAUGGGUCGCAGAGACCAGGGGGAAGCGACUGUUUAUCAAAAACACAGGUCCGUGCGAAGUCGUAAGACGAUGUAUACGGACUGACUCCUGCCCGGUGCUGGAAGGUUAAGAGGAUUGGUUAGCCCUUUUUGGGCGAAGCUGAGAAUUUAAGCCCCAGUAAACGGCGGUGGUAACUAUAACCAUCCUAAGGUAGCGAAAUUCCUUGUCGGGUAAGUUCCGACCUGCACGAAUGGAGUAACGACUUCCCUACUGUCUCAACCAUGAACUCGGCGAAAUUGCAGUACGAGUAAAGAUGCUCGUUUCGCGCAGCAGGACGGAAAGACCCCGUGACCUUUACUAUAGUUUGGUAUUGGUGUUUGGUUUGGCUUGUGUAGGAUAGGUGGGAGACUGUGAAGCAUGGACGCUAGUUUGUGUGGAGUCGUUGUUGAAAUACCACUCUGGUCAAUCUGGAUGUCUAACUUCGGGCCAUGAUCUGGUUCAGGGACAGUGCCUGAUGGGUAGUUUAACUGGGGCGGUUGCCUCCUAAAGUGUAACGGAGGCGCCCAAAGGUUCCCUCAGCCUGGUUGGCAAUCAGGUGUUGAGUGUAAGUGCACAAGGGAGCUUGACUGUGAGACUGGCAGGUCGAGCAGGGACGAAAGUCGGGACUAGUGAUCCGGCGGUACGUUGUGGAACGGCCGUCGCUCAACGGAUAAAAGGUACCUCGGGGAUAACAGGCUGAUCUUGCCCAAGAGUCCAUAUCGACGGCAUGGUUUGGCA
This 1243-nucleotide ribosomal RNA is filed under the name human oral metagenome. Its description in RNAcentral is "bacterial LSU rRNA". It matches the Rfam family "Bacterial large subunit ribosomal RNA", at positions 1398 to 2523 of the family's 2925-position model. The record is from RNAcentral.